Molecule: ribosomal RNA, 253 nt
Filed under: uncultured bacterium
Lineage: Bacteria
Description: partial 16S ribosomal RNA
Rfam family: Bacterial small subunit ribosomal RNA
Source: RNAcentral
UACGAAGGGGGCUAGCGUUGUUCGGAUUUACUGGGCGUAAAGCGCACGUAGGCGGUUUGUUAAGUCAGAGGUGAAAUCCCGGAGCUCAACUCCGGAACUGCCUUUGAUACUGGCAAGCUGGAGUCCGGAAGAGGUAAGUGGAACUCCUAGUGUAGAGGUGGAAUUCGUAGAUAUUAGGAAGAACACCAGUGGCGAAGGCGGCUUACUGGUCCGGAACUGACGCUGAGGUGCGAAAGCGUGGGGAGCAAACAGG